UCCGUAGGUGGAUCAAUCAGUCAGAGGUGAAAUCCUGCAGCUUAACUGUAGAACUGCCUUUGAUACUGUUGAUCUUGAGUCAUUAUGAAGUGGUUAGAAUGUGUAGUGUAGCGGUGAAAUGCAUAGAUAUUACACAGAAUACCGAUUGCGAAGGCAGAUCACUAAUAAUGUACUGACACUGAGGUACGAAAGCGUGGGGAGCGAACAGGAUUAGAUACCCUGGUAGUC
Molecule: ribosomal RNA, 228 nt
Filed under: uncultured bacterium
Lineage: Bacteria
Description: partial 16S ribosomal RNA
Rfam family: Bacterial small subunit ribosomal RNA
Source: RNAcentral